This 943-nucleotide long non-coding RNA is filed under the name Ricinus communis (castor bean). Its description in RNAcentral is "long non-coding RNA (RCOM_LNC002706)". The record is from RNAcentral. Lineage: Eukaryota; Viridiplantae; Streptophyta; Magnoliopsida; Malpighiales; Euphorbiaceae.
CUUUAUUCAGUAGGAAAAUUAUAAUCUCUCUACAAAAAAGAGUACAAAAUAGGAGGGGAUUGGAAAUCCAAUCACCAAUGCCAGAAAGAGAGCUAUCAUGUUUGGCUAGCAGCGAUAUCCAGCUCCACGGCAUCGACUAAGGGUAUAGCUUCUCCUUCCAGUGCAGAAGAGGCACAUCUGCCGUAGGCCUUACCACCAACAGUCUUACCACAACAAUUCAUGCAGACAAUACUAAUACCAGCUCUAGAUGAACUAAUAACAAUAUAAAAAGUACUAUUCAAAACCAUGUUCCCCACCAACAAAUCUACAGUAAUCACCAAUUUAUUGAAUUAGAAGCAAAUCAGAAGAGCGACAAUCUAUUUCCUAAUUCAUAAUCAAAUGCUCUGAUUAAAGCAACUUGAUGUCUCAUCACCAAAAAAAAAAAAAAAAAAAACUAAAGCUUGAUGCUUUUUCACUUUUGUUGCUUGGCUUCAACCUCUUUAGUUUUAGGUUCUUGAAAAUCUCAGGUGGGUAGUUCUUGAUUUCUUGAUUUUACUUCUGUUCAUGUGAUUUGGUUUUGAUCAAGAUUUUACUUGGUCAACUGAUUGCUUGCUUGAAGAGUAUAAAAAUGAUAACAAAUGGAGCAAAAGAUUGAAGAAAGGGAAACGCAAUAGCAAAGGCGGGAUAGGAGUGGCGACAAUGGAGGAAAAGGUAGAUAAAAUAAGAGCUUUUGCAAAUUAAGAAAGUGGGAAUCUUGAAGAAGAAAAAGAAGUAGCAACAAUAGAGGAAAUGGAGGUGGCGGUGGCAGCAGUGGAGGAAAAGGAAAAUUAAGGCUUUUGCAAAUGGAAAAAGUGGAAAAGCUUGAACAAUAAGAAUUGGCAGCAGUAGAGGAGAUGGUGGUGGCUGGUAGCGGCAAUGGAGGGAAAGGGAGAAGUAAAAGAUAUUGUCUUUUAUUAUGAGAGAU